CCAAUGGAUUUUAUUUUGUACCUUUAAAAACAUUUUGAGAAGAGGUCCAUAGGCUUUGGCAGGCUGCCAAAGGGGUCCACAAAUGUCAAGACUCCCUGGUUACACCAUACCUUCUGAUGCUUUGAUUAUUGGUUAAGUUUCCAUUGGGGCUCGGUACUGAUCAGAGCCGAAUGGGAGAAAGUGGGCAUGGAUUGCCACCUUUAAAAGUUUCAGAAAAGACUCUGAUGGCGCAAAGUGAGAUCUGCCUACUAGUUGCUGGAAGGCAGAACUGUGAGAUUGAGCCAGGGCUUUGGAAUGUUGGUAAAGUUUUUUGGUACUUGUGUCUGAAAUAAGAGAAUAAAGGCAGUAGAUGGUUUUACCCCUGCCUACAGCUCCAGCCUCGUUGCUCCUUGCCGCUGUGCCCCCAGCCAUUUUUGCUGUCUUUCAGUGUCCAGGAAGCUUCCUCCUGCAUUAGGAGGUCUAUACAUGCUGUUAUCUUUGCUGGACUUUCCUCCCAUCUCUUCAUCUAGGUAAGUACACUCUCCCUCCAUAUCUGAUUAUCUGCCCCUGAUCCUCCAGACUAGGUCAGGCUCCUUGAUAAUCCUCAUGUAGACCCAUCCUCAUCUCUUUCACAGCCCUUUCUCAGUUUGUAACUAUGUGGUCCUUGGGGUGACUCUUUAGUUCACUGCUUGUCACUGCACCAGAUUAUAAAUCCCCCAAUGGCAAGGAAGGCUUGCUUUUAUUGUCUGCAGUAUCCCCAGUGCCUGACCAAGGGCUUGUGGUAAAUAUUUAUUGAUAAAGAGUGAAUUUUAAUUGGAAAAUUCAUAAUGGGACUGUGAAUGCUAGCAGAAUGGAUUUAGGUCCACAAAAAAUAAAGUCGUAUGGCCUCCCCCCACUGGUGACACCCCAUCUACCACCAAGCAUCCUCCACACUCCUAGUAGUUCUGCAUACACCACUAACACAGAGAUCUUCGGGCUAGCACAGUAGAAACAGUACAGCAAAACUGACAGGCUGGGGAGAGAGAUGACCUGUGGUCAGAUCCUGGCCUUGAUGCUUUCUUCCUGGGUGAUCUCAGCCUCUUUGUGCCUCAGUCUCUCCAUCUAUAUAAAAUAGUGAAAAUAAUAGUACCUCUGGCAUAGAAUGUUUAGGAAUGCUAAUGAAGCCACAUAAAUAAAACACCUAACACGUAAGUACUGAUCAAAUGGUAGCUUAAAGGAAAAGAGACAACUUUUAUCCAUCAGAGCCUGAUGGAUAAUCCACUCCUGCUACCCUCUUGAGAAACACUGGAUUUAGAAAGAGAAUUUCACAGAAUAUAUUAGUGAAUAUCUUCAGUAAAUAAUAUAUUCAGCUCAGUAAAUAUCAGUUGUGGUUAUUUCUCUAUUAGAAAAUAGUGAAUUGUCCUAAAAGCACAAGCCUAGCUCUUAAAGGCUUUCAAGAAAUGUGCAUUGAGAAGUUGAAUGAAAGAGCAGAUGGGCUACUGAAUGCUUAUUUUCCUUUUCCAGGCCCAACUUGGCUUUGCAGUACUUGACUGCCCUCAGUUCUACAUAGUUGCCACUAGAGGGCAGGCGCGGUUAAGACAACAAUACUCUGGACCCACCAGCGCCAUAAUUACUGGCUGGAACUCACAUCACAGCUGCCCUAUUUACUUACCUACCGGCUGCAUUCCUUAGAACCAGUUUUUUUCCUGUUCAAAUGGAAACCAGGCAGAAUUGGGAAAAUAUUUCUUCAGCCAGCUCCUCAGCACUGCUGUCUGAGGGAGACCAUCUGACCCAGAUGCCCUUCAAAGCCCGUGAGCCACAACUACUGAGCCCGCAUGCUGCAACUACUGAAGCCCACAUGCC
Molecule: long non-coding RNA, 1821 nt
Organism: Balaenoptera musculus (blue whale)
Lineage: Eukaryota; Metazoa; Chordata; Mammalia; Artiodactyla; Balaenopteridae
Exons: 3
Source: RefSeq, a predicted model, not a curated record